Molecule: transfer RNA, 64 nt
Filed under: Serica sp. NS-2020
Lineage: Eukaryota; Metazoa; Arthropoda; Insecta; Coleoptera; Scarabaeidae
Description: tRNA-Ile
Source: RNAcentral
AAUGAAGUGUCUGAUUAAAGAGUUAUUUUGAUAGAGUAAAUUAUGUGUUGUUACACCUUCAUUA